This 465-nucleotide ribosomal RNA is filed under the name uncultured bacterium. RNAcentral describes it as "bacterial SSU rRNA". It matches the Rfam family "Bacterial small subunit ribosomal RNA", at positions 338 to 795 of the family's 1533-position model. The record is from RNAcentral.
CCUACGGGGGGCAGGAGUAGGGAAUCUUCGGCAAUGGACGAAAGUCUGACCGAGCAACGCCGCGUGAGUGAAGAGGGUUUUCGGAUCGUAAAACUCUGUAGUUAGAGAAGAACAAGGACGUAAGUAACUGAACGUCCCCUGACGGUAUCUAACCAGAAAGCCACGGCUAACUACGUGCCAGCAGCCGCGGUAAUACGUAGGUGGCAAGCGUUGUCCGGAUUUAUUGGGCGUAAAGCGAGCGCAGGCGGUUUCUUAAGUCUGAUGUGAAAGCCCCCGGCUCAACCGGGGAGGGUCAUUGGAAACUGGGAGACUUGAGUACAGAAGAGGAGAGUGGAAUUCCAUGUGUAGCGGUGAAAUGCGUAGAUAUAUGGAGGAACACCAGUGGCGAAGGCGGCUCUCUGGUCUGUAACUGAUGCUGAGGCUCGAAAGCGUGGGGAGCAAACAGGAUUAGAUACCCCUGUAGUU